GGGCGGCUUACAUGCCAGUCGAACGAAGCGCCCGCGCGGAUUCCCUCGGGAUGAAGCGCGGAUGACUGAGUGGCGGACGCGUGAGUCACGCGUGGGCAACCUGCCCCGUGCCGGGGGACAACAGCCGGAAACGGCUGCUAAUACCGCAUGAUCCGGGAGGGCCGCAUGGCCCUGCCGGGAAGGCUCCGGCGGCACGGGAUGGGCCCGCGUCUGAUUAGUUUGUUGGCGGGGUAACGGCCCACCAAGACUGCGAUCAGCAGCCGGCCUGAGAGGGCGGCCGGCCACAUUGGGACUGAGACACGGCCCAGACUCCUGCGGGAGGCAGCAGUGGGGAAUAUUGCACAAUGGGGGAAACCCUGAUGCAGCGACGCCGCGUGGGCGACGAAGCGCUCCGGCGCGUAAAGCCCUGUCAGCAGGGAAGAAAAAAGACAGUACCUGGCCAAGAAGCCCCGGCUAACUACGUGCCAGCAGCCGCGGUAAUACGUAGGGGGCAAGCGUUAUCCGGAUUCACUGGGCGUAAAGGGAGCGCAGGCGGCACGGCAAGUCUGGUGUGAAAGCCCGGGGCCCAACCCCGGGACUGCAUUGGAAACUGCCGGGCUGGAGUGCCGGAGAGGUAAGCGGAAUUCCUGGUGUAGCGGUGAAAUGCGCAGAUAUCAGGAAGAACACCGGUGGCGUAGGCGGCUUACUGGACGGCAACUGACGCUGAGGCUCGAAAGCGUGGGGAGCAAACAGGAUUAGAUACCCUGGUAGUCCACGCCGUAAACGACGAAUACCAGGGUGUCGGCGGGCAGGGCCCGCCGGUGCCGCAGCUAACGCAGUAAGUAUUCCGCCUGGGGAGUACGUCGCAAGA
RNAcentral lists this ribosomal RNA (850 nucleotides) under uncultured bacterium. RNAcentral's name for it is "bacterial SSU rRNA". It matches the Rfam family "Bacterial small subunit ribosomal RNA", at positions 44 to 893 of the family's 1533-position model. The record is from RNAcentral.